RNAcentral lists this long non-coding RNA (967 nucleotides) under Nicotiana benthamiana. Its description in RNAcentral is "long non-coding RNA (NBEN_LNC036870)". Lineage: Eukaryota; Viridiplantae; Streptophyta; Magnoliopsida; Solanales; Solanaceae. The record is from RNAcentral.
GUGGACUCUAGGGGUUCUGCUAAUUGAGUUAAGGAAGCAAACUGUAUCAUUAUCAAUUGCUUUCUAGAUGGUUCUGCAACACGUUUGGAACAAAAUAAAAAUAUCUUCAUUUUGAAAUUCCAUUGGACUCGACUGGAGUAAUGUAUUAUAGGAAUCAGCCUCUUUCAAUCAAAGAACUAUUUCAACGAUUCCCAUGUUUGUAGUUCGAAAGGAAAAGGAUCCCAGGAAAUUUAUUCGAACCUAAUUCUUACUAAAUUUUCUAUUCCAAUCAAUGGCCUCUUCCUAGGUGAUACUGAGGAGGGCCGGACCCGUUUUUUAUUUGGUUCUCUCUUUACUGUUCAAAGAAAAAGUGGUUUUGUUAAGUGUAUAAGCACUUUGUAUGAGAAAGAAAGGAUAUAAACAUAGUGGUUGUCUAACGAGAUACUAUGCAGAAUAAGAUCUUCAGGUGAGUCACAUAAUUUUCUAUUCCAAUCAAUGGCCUCUUCCUAGGUGAUACUGAGGAGGGCCGGACCCGUUUUUUAUUUGGUUCUCUCUUUACUGUUCAAAGAAAAAGUGGUUUUGUUAAGUGUAUAAGCACUUUGUAUGAGAAAGAAAGGAUAUAAACAUAGUGGUUGUCUAACGAGAUACUAUUUAGAAUAAGAUCGUCAGGUGAGUCACAUAUUGCGCAUUUACCUUUCGAAUUUUGGAAAUUGGAUUUAGACUUUAUCGACUUAUUUCAUAUCAUGGUUCAGGCCUUAAAAAUCAGUGAGGUUUACUCUUCCUUUUCGAUGCCCGUGGAACUACUGUCAAUGGUUUACUCAAUUACUUCUUGGGAAUGUUAAAAAAAAAGAUUACUACGACCUUUCGAAUUUUGGAAAUUGGAUUUAGACUUUAUCGACUUAUUUCAUAUCAUGGUUCAGGCCUUAAAAAUCAGUGAGGUUUACUCUUCCUUUUCGAUGCCCGUGGAACUACUGUCAAUGGUUUACUU